This 468-nucleotide ribosomal RNA is filed under the name uncultured bacterium. RNAcentral describes it as "partial 16S ribosomal RNA". It matches the Rfam family "Bacterial small subunit ribosomal RNA", at positions 28 to 507 of the family's 1533-position model. The record is from RNAcentral.
GAUGAACGCUGGCGGCGUGCUUAACACAUGCAAGUCGAACGGAAAGGCCGAAGCUUGCUUCGGUACUCGAGUGGCGAACGGGUGAGUAACACGUGGGUGAUCUGCCCUGUACUUCGGGGUAAGCUUGGGAAACUGGGUCUAAUACCGGAUAUGACGAUCUCUUGGAUGGGGUUGUGGAAAGCUUUUGCGGUAUGGGAUGAGCUCGCGGCCUAUCAGCUUGUUGGUGGGGUAAUGGCCUACCAAGGCGUCGACGGGUAGCCGGCCUGAGAGGGUGUACGGCCACAUUGGGACUGAGAUACGGCCCAGACUCCUACGGGAGGCAGCAGUGGGGAAUAUUGCACAAUGGGCGCAAGCCUGAUGCAGCGACGCCGCGUGGGGGAUGACGGCCUUCGGGUUGUAAACUCCUUUCGCAAUCGACGAAGCCUUUUGGUGACGGUAGGUGGAGAAGAAGCACCGGCUAACUACGUG